RNAcentral lists this ribosomal RNA (439 nucleotides) under uncultured bacterium. RNAcentral describes it as "partial 16S ribosomal RNA". It matches the Rfam family "Bacterial small subunit ribosomal RNA", at positions 338 to 795 of the family's 1533-position model. The record is from RNAcentral.
CCUACGGGUGGCAGCAGUGGGGAAUAUUGCACAAUGGGCGAAAGCCUGAUGCAGCAACGCAGCGUGAGCGAUGAAGGCCUUCGGGUCGUAAAGCUCUGUCCUCAAGGAAGAUAAUGACGGUACUUGAGGCGGAAGCCCCGGCUAACUACGGGACAGCAGCCGCGGUAAUACGUAGGGGGCUAGCGUUAUCCGGAAUUACUGGGCGUAAAGGGUGCGUAGGUGGUUUCUUAAGUCAGAGGUGAAAGGCUACGGCUCAACCGUAGUAAGCCUUUGAAACUGGGGAAAUUGAGUGCAGGAGAGGAGAGUGGAAUUCCUAGUGUAGCGGUGAAAUGCGUAGAUAUUAGGAGGAACACCAGUUGCGAAGGCGGUCUGCUGGACAGCAACUGACGGUGAGGCGCGAAAGCGUGGGGAGCAAACAGGAUUAGAUACCCGGGUAGUC